This 279-nucleotide unclassified non-coding RNA is filed under the name Glomeraceae sp. RNAcentral describes it as "partial contains 5.8S ribosomal RNA and internal transcribed spacer 2". The stretch from base 1 to 65 matches the Rfam family "5.8S ribosomal RNA", at positions 84 to 154 of the family's 154-position model. Lineage: Eukaryota; Fungi; Glomeromycota; Glomeromycetes; Glomerales; Glomeraceae. The record is from RNAcentral.
GUGAAUCAUCAAAUUUUUGAACGCAAAUUGCACUCUCCUCGGAGAGGAUGCCUGUUUGAGGGUCAGCCUAUAAAAAAUCGACAUCGUUGCUGCUGCGCUUUUUCGUUCGGCGGAAAUUGUGGCAUCUUAGAUCUUUUGGUUUUAAGCGACUUAAAAUUUUCUUUUUGAUUCCAUGAACUUUUCUAAGAUUUAUUUCUUUACACGUUUAAGUUAUCGAUUUUUAUUAGACGUGACCAUCAUAUCGGAUCGCGCCCAUAAUCGUUCAUGAACGGACCUCCG